Molecule: RNA transcript, 3731 nt
Organism: Brassica napus (rape)
Lineage: Eukaryota; Viridiplantae; Streptophyta; Magnoliopsida; Brassicales; Brassicaceae
Exons: 5
Source: RefSeq, a predicted model, not a curated record
CAUCUGGGAGGGUGGGGCAUUUCGUGACACGUGGCGGUUUCUUAGAGACUUACGAAAACUGCUUCAAUGCUCGACGUUAGUUGUUUAAUUAUUUGAGCUACAUGUUUUUAUGGUUAAAUCAGUGGGCUUUUUGAUUAUUGUCUAAAAAGCCCAUAUAAUUUAGGGUUUAUUCAGUUUUAUACGUCGUGGUUCUUCACUUCUCACCACCAAAAACUGUCGUCGUUGUAACAUCUUCAUUAAUCAUCACUUGAAAACAUUUAUCCAAGCAUUAAGAUUUUCUGCACCACUCCUCCCACUCUCUCGAAUUAAAUCGACCAUAACAUCCUCCAAAGUAUUUUCCUGAAGCUUCACCUAUAAAUGGCUUUGUUGCCUAGGAUGAACAGUACUAUCAAAACGAAAUCCCAAAGGUCUUCCUCUGUCAAGCAUCAAAUCCAUCAAUGGCGAAUCAUUUACUCUUCUCCCCGAUUUUAAAGCCAAACACUGUUCAAACACAGUCGAGAGAUUCUGAGAAGCAAGAAAUGUUAAGAAAGGCUGCCAACUCAUGGAUGUCCACAUGCUUCUCCUUGACGAGCAGUCGAUUUCGAUUCAAGGUUCUAUCGCUUAAUACUUUCAGAAAUCUCUUGAAGGAACGAGGGAUGUACGAGUUUCGUGGUAUUGAUGUCGCUGGAAGCAACAGCCACGUCAAAGUCUCCGACGCACCAGUUUCUAUAUGUUUCACUGGCCACACGAGCUUUGUCGAGGUCACGGAACCGACAGUGAACCAUCCAACAGAGAAGUUUCGUUUACAAAUGUAUGAUCAACUCAUGGCUUUGGCUAACACUAACGUGGAUUUGGCUGGUUUGUAUAACAACUUUCAACUCAUACUUUAACCGUAUGUCCUCCAUUCAAGCAGAUAACUAGCAGAUGCUCCUAACACUUAUGUUUGCAAUGUUUGUUUCAGACAUCAUGGGCAAAGUUAGUAGUAUAAACAUUGUUUUUUAAUGAAGAAAACCAGUCCAUAUAGCUGGUCUUAAAAUGUUAACUGACUGAAGUUUUGUUUCAGGUCGGCUUCCUGAAUGCAACCUCUGAAAUUCAUUUCUAUUUUGAUAAUGAGAAUGGUGCAGGUACAAGUUAUCUUGACAGGUAAAUAGGACAUGAGGCAGUGGAAAAGGCUUGACCUCCCGCCCUACAAAAUAUGGGGGUGUUAAGAAGAUUAAAUGGAUGGUUCUACAUUUCUUGCUCCAAGUGCUACCGGGAAUUGCAGGGUGGGUUUACAUCAUUCACAUGGGCUUCCUACAAUGAGGUGAACGCUGUUGGUAUCAUUAGAUAAGUCACGUUCUUAUUUUUUAGGAAACGGUUACUAAUAUUUUCACAUUCUUUCGCUUAUGAAGGCCGCAGGUGUACAAGAGCCACAUGAUUGUGACCUUCCACAAUGCUUAGAGGAGAUUAUUGGGAGUACUUUAACCUUCCAAUUGAACCUACCUCACUUCAACUUCACUGCAAAACAUCAGAGCUUCACCGUCUCUUGCAUUCUUGACCACAACCAGCGCCCUCCCCAACGUAAUUUUGAGGUUCAUGGUGGGAAUGACAACCCUGAAGAUAAUAUGCCAGGUGCUGGAGCAAUAAAAAAACCCCACAGUAUUGGACUUAAUAGCACACUGUGAAUGAUGGUAAUCGUGUUGGUAAUGGUGAUGUUGAAGGUGGAAGAGGUGACGCAUCAGAUCCACGAGAUAACUCUGUUGACGGAAGCAGCACAGGAGAGGGGGCACCUGUGGAGGAAGAUUGGUGUUCUGCAGAGAAGACACAUAAUGAGUAAAAACGUUAAGAGAUCAAGGGGUGCUUAGGUUGCAAGAGAGGAUGCCGUUUCUAUGCAUUAGUUUUUAAAUAAGAUUUCCAGACACUAUUAUGUCUGAGUACUACAAAGUUUCUGCUUUUAUUAUUUCCAGUUUUUUUUUUGAAACACUAUUUCCAGUUUUCUUAUUGUAACUUAUUUCCAAUUUUUUUUUGUUUAGAACACUUUAGUCAUAUCAGUCUUUUUUGCAUUUAAAAUAUUAAUAUCAUAUUCUCAAACACCGUUCCCGAUUCCUAGGAAAUCAUAAUCUAAUAGUCUCAAACAUUAACCAGAAUAUUGAUUAUUCCGUUCCGUUUUUACGAGAAUUAAUUUGAUACUUAGAAAAAUCAGUCAGUACAUGAAGAAAAUCGGCCCAUAACAUCCAGAAUUUUCAAUACUUUAUAGCUAUGCAGACAAAAGUAACUUUGUUUCAGUUGGUCAAUAACUCUUUUCAAUCAACUAUCAACAAAUUUCGGGCACCCAUAUACUGCACAAUCCUUCGCUGCACCAAAGUCAAAGAAUACGAACCUUAAACAGAAGCAUGGUUUACACAUCUACGAGGAAGGAGAAAGAGAGAGUUAUCUGAGUAAGAAUGACACGGCAAGAACAUCCGGAAAACUCGAACCAUAUAUUUGACAUGUAUAAAAAAUGAUAUUAGCCUGUUGCAACAAAAAAAUGAUAUUAAGUUCAAAAAAAAUAUUAUAUUAGCAUUUACAUCUAUUUUGUAAAUGAUGUUAGUUUGGUAUAAUUAAAAUAAUUAGUUACAAUUUUUAAAUCAUUUAUCGAUAACGAACUAAAAUUAAUAUUAAUUACCAAAAUUAACUUUAAAAUUUUUACAAUUUAAAAUAAGUGGCUUAAAUUUUUAAAUCAUUUGUAUAUUUUAUUUUAAAUAUAGUUCAGUAUAUAAAUUAACUAAAUAAUUUUUCAUACCCAUUUAACAUUUUCUUUUCCACUAAAAGGAUAAUCUGCAAAGCAAAAAAAGUAAGAAAUGAUAAAUAAGAUGAAUCCAUAUAAAUAUGGAUUUAUAUUUAUUUUUAUUGGAGCGAGUCUGUGUUUUUGGUGGUCGUUAAAACCCUAUAAUUCUGACAUGACAUGACAUCUGCUAACAUGUAUCAUAAAAUCGAUUAUUAGUUCACAGCCCUUAAUUCUUAAUUGGCAGACCUAAUAAUUCAAACUCAAUUGGACUAACAACUUAGAGAUGAAAAAUGAAACUAAUUGAAUUAAAAAAAAAACUUUCAAACCCGGUGUACGCGCCGGAAUACCUCUAGUAAUUAAUAAAAGAGCGAUGGUAAACUAUAGUUUGUUGACGUGUAAAUGAGCUGGCAAAGAAUAUUAUAAUCGUUUUUGGCCAAUAAAUAAAAAUCAAACGCAAUUAUCCAACCUUUUGUCUCUGAACUUUCCGUUUGCAAUUGCCGUCCGAAUCAACGAGACACAAAUGUAAGAUGGGUUUUGUUCAUCGAUGCAGAAGCUUGUAAAGGCAUUUAAUUGUUUGAUGGAACAACCCAGUAACGAUAUCUCUCAAGAACAAGCUCGUGAGUCUCUCAUUGCUAUCUCCUACACUUCACCAGAGGAGGUUGAAGACUCUCUAACGCCCUCAGAUGUGAAACCUGUCGUCAGUACCACAAAUGGAGUCACCAAAACGAACUCUGAAGUCGCGGAAAAGCUCAGAUCUGAGCUGAUCUCCAUCUCCUACGACGAGUCACCGUCCCCCUCACCUGAUGUUUCUCCGACCUUGCCCAACGGUGUCUGAUAUAAGUAACUGUACAGAUCAAAGUCUGUUCCUUUUCCAUGCGUACAACUUUGGUUUGGUCUAAAAGGUAGACCAUUGUGAUAUCUUAACGUUUUCUUUCAUGAACUGUAUGAAAGUUUUUCUUAUUUGUGUUGUUUAAAGUUAAAAGCUCUCUCUUGAGUCUUAUUUGAA